RNAcentral lists this ribosomal RNA (929 nucleotides) under Mariannaea submersa. Its description in RNAcentral is "SSU rRNA". It matches the Rfam family "Eukaryotic small subunit ribosomal RNA", at positions 101 to 1039 of the family's 1831-position model. Lineage: Eukaryota; Fungi; Ascomycota; Sordariomycetes; Hypocreales; Nectriaceae. The record is from RNAcentral.
UUAUAUAAGUUAUCGUUUAUUUGAUAGUACCUUACUACUUGGAUAACCGUGGUAAUUCUAGAGCUAAUACAUGCUAAAAAUCCCGACUUUGGAAGGGAUGUAUUUAUUAGAUUAAAAACCAAUGCCCUUCGGGGCUCUCUGGUGAUUCAUGAUAACUUCUCGAAUCGCAUGGCCUUGCGCCGGCGAUGGUUCAUUCAAAUUUCUUCCCUAUCAACUUUCGAUGUUUGGGUAUUGGCCAAACAUGGUUGCAACGGGUAACGGAGGGUUAGGGCUCGACCCCGGAGAAGGAGCCUGAGAAACGGCUACUACAUCCAAGGAAGGCAGCAGGCGCGCAAAUUACCCAAUCCCGACACGGGGAGGUAGUGACAAUAAAUACUGAUACAGGGCUCUUUUGGGUCUUGUAAUUGGAAUGAGUACAAUUUAAACCCCUUAACGAGGAACAAUUGGAGGGCAAGUCUGGUGCCAGCAGCCGCGGUAAUUCCAGCUCCAAUAGCGUAUAUUAAAGUUGUUGUGGUUAAAAAGCUCGUAGUUGAACCUUGGGCCUGGCUGGCCGGUCCGCCUCACCGCGUGUACUGGUCCGGCCGGGCCUUUCCCUCUGUGGAACCCCAUGCCCUUCACUGGGUGUGGCGGGGAAACAGGACUUUUACUUUGAAAAAAUUAGAGUGCUCCAGGCAGGCCUAUGCUCGAAUACAUUAGCAUGGAAUAAUAGAAUAGGACGUGUGGUUCUAUUUUGUUGGUUUCUAGGACCGCCGUAAUGAUUAAUAGGGACAGUCGGGGGCAUCAGUAUUCAAUUGUCAGAGGUGAAAUUCUUGGAUUUAUUGAAGACUAACUACUGCGAAAGCAUUUGCCAAGGAUGUUUUCAUUAAUCAGGAACGAAAGUUAGGGGAUCGAAGACGAUCAGAUACCGUCGUAGUCUUAACCAUAAACUA